Molecule: transfer RNA, 74 nt
Filed under: Sedimentisphaera salicampi
Lineage: Bacteria; Pseudomonadati; Planctomycetota; Phycisphaerae; Sedimentisphaerales; Sedimentisphaeraceae
Rfam family: tRNA
About the family: Transfer RNA (tRNA) molecules are approximately 80 nucleotides in length. Their secondary structure includes four short double-helical elements and three loops (D, anti-codon, and T loops).
Source: Rfam by way of RNAcentral
GGCGACGUGGCCAAGUGGUCUAAGGCGUCGGUUUGCAAAACCGAUAUUCACCGGUUCGAAUCCGGUCGUCGCCU